Paramacrobiotus metropolitanus is the source of this 361-nucleotide long non-coding RNA. RefSeq lists it as uncharacterized. The record is from RefSeq and is a predicted model, not a curated record. The transcript is spliced from 3 exons. NCBI's taxonomy places the organism in Eukaryota, Metazoa, Tardigrada, Eutardigrada, Parachela, Macrobiotidae.
GUUUCGCUGCCUAUUUUUCGCUUAUCUUUGGUAUUUGCUGUGCUUCGUUCCCGCACAGAGUUUGGCGGUUAUUUUAACACAAAGGAAGUUUGGCAGCGUGGCAAGAAUCUUGAUGCCAGAAGUGUGUACCGGCGCUUGCAAGAGGGUGGCGUCUCAGUCGGCAGUUGUUUCCCUUGGAGCCUCUUGACGUUUUCCGCCGCUCAUCGCGAACAGUAACUGUGAUGCCAGCGUAGCGUAGCAAAGGCUCAGAUAAACGACCAGUCUGCACGACAGCCGUUGACAGAAUGGCAGCCCCGCAUAUUAUUCAGGGUUUUAUCUGGAAGGCCACUACCACUUGGGUGACGUUACUGCAGAUGUGCGG